RNAcentral lists this ribosomal RNA (620 nucleotides) under uncultured Verrucomicrobiota bacterium. RNAcentral describes it as "bacterial SSU rRNA". It matches the Rfam family "Bacterial small subunit ribosomal RNA", at positions 77 to 680 of the family's 1533-position model. The record is from RNAcentral. Lineage: Bacteria; Pseudomonadati; Verrucomicrobiota.
UAGCAAUACCGAAGAAAGUCUAGUGGCGAACGGGUGCGUAACACGUGGGCAAUCUGCCUUAAAGUGGGGGAUAGCUCGGCGAAAGCCGAAUUAAUACCGCAUGUGAUUACCGGAGACAUCUUCGGAACAUCAAAGUCGGGGCAACCUGACGCUUUUUGAGGAGCCCGCGGCCUAUCAGCUAGUUGGUGAGGUAACGGCUCACCAAGGCUUUGACGGGUAGCUGGUCUGAGAGGACGACCAGUCACACUGGAACUGAGACACGGUCCAGACACCUACGGGUGGCAGCAGUCGAGAAUUUUUCUCAAUGGGGGAAACCCUGAAGGAGCGACGCCGCGUGGAGGAUGAAGGUCUUCGGGUUGUAAACUCCUGUCAUUUGGGAACAAUGCUUACGUAUUAACUGUACGUGAGUUGAUAGUACCAGAAGAGGAAGAGACGGCUAACUCUGUGCCAGCAGCCGCGGUAAUACAGAGGUCUCAAGCGUUGUUCGGAUUCAUUGGGCGUAAAGGGUGUGUAGGUGGCGCGCUAAGUCGGGUGUGAAAUUUCGGAGCUUAACUCCGAAACUGCAUUCGAUACUGGCGUGCUUGAGGACUGGAGAGGAGACUGGAAUUCUCGGUGUAGCA